Molecule: RNA transcript, 6046 nt
Organism: Cottoperca gobio
Lineage: Eukaryota; Metazoa; Chordata; Actinopteri; Perciformes; Bovichtidae
Gene: ptpn11b
Gene name: protein tyrosine phosphatase non-receptor type 11b
Exons: 17
Source: RefSeq, a predicted model, not a curated record
CUCGACACGCAGGUUCAACAGAUCUCACUCUUCACAGCGACUCAGCAGAGGCAAAAGGGGAACGUUUGUGGACACUUGACAGCUUUCAGAGACUGCUAUGACAUCUCGCAGGUGGUUCCACCCCAACAUCACCGGAAUCGAAGCAGAGCAGCUCCUGUUGACCCGGGGCGUCCACGGCAGUUUCCUGGCCCGGCCCAGCAAGAGCAAUCCGGGGGAUUUUACCCUCUCUGUCAGGCGCAACGAUGAGGUGACCCACAUUAAGAUCCAGAACCAGGGUGACUACUACGACCUGUACGGAGGCGAGAAGUUUGCCACGCUGGCCGAGCUGGUGCAGUAUUACACCGAACAACAGGACCUCCUGCGCGAGAGGAACGGCCAUGUCAUCGAGCUCAAGUACCCUCUCAACUGCAAGGACCCCACAUCUGAGAGGUGGUACCAUGGGCACCUCUCUGGGCGAGACGCAGAGAAGCUGCUCACAGACAAAGGCAAAGCUGGUAGCUUCCUGGUACGGGAGAGCCAAAGUAAACCGGGCGACUUCGUCCUCUCAGUUCUCACCAAUGAGGAGAAGCACGAGAACGUGGACCGCAAGACAAAGGUCACCCACGUUAUGAUACGCUUCCAGCAGGACGGAAAAUACGACGUGGGCGGCGGCGAGAGGUUCGACACCCUGGCUGACCUGGUGGAUCACUACAAGAAGAACCCCAUGGUGGAGAAAAGUGGCAUCGUGGUGCACCUGAAACAGCCCUUUAACGCCACGAGGAUAAAUGCAGCCAACAUUGAGAACCGGGUACGAGAGCUCAACAAAGUAGCAGACAACUCUGAGAAACCCAAACAAGGAUUCUGGGAGGAAUUUGAGGUACUUCAGCAGCAGGAGUGCAAACUGCUGUAUCCCCGGAAAGAAGGCCAGAAGCCAGAAAACAAGAGUAAAAACAGAUACAAGAAUAUCCUCCCCUUCGACACGACUCGAGUAGAACUCAGGGAAGCAGAUCCAGAUGUUCCUGUUUCAGACUACAUCAAUGCCAACUACAUCAGAAGUAUGCAUGAAGAGGGGCGCCACGUGGAUGAGGGCAAAGUCUUCAUCGCCACCCAAGGGUGCCUACAGAAUACGGUCGUUGACUUCUGGAAGAUGGUGUAUCAGGAGAAUACGCACGUCAUCGUCAUGACCACCAAGGAGGUGGAGCGAGGGCGGAACAAAUGUGUGCGUUACUGGCCCGACCUCCUCUGCACUAAGGAGUUUGGGAAGGUGCUGGUGAGGAACGUGGACGAGCGGCCAGCACAAGACUACAUCCUGAGGAAGCUGGAGGUGACCCGUCUGGACCGGAAGGAGCCUCUGAGGUACAUCUGGCACUACCAGUACCUGAGCUGGCCGGACCACGGGGUGCCCAAUGAGCCCUGCGGUGUCCUCUGGUUCCUCGAGGAGGUCAACCGCACCCAGAGUACCAUUCCAGACACUGGACCCAUUGUCGUCCACUGCAGUGCAGGCAUCGGCAGGACGGGCACCAUCAUCGUUGUCGACAUCCUUAUUGACGUUAUCAACCGCCAAGGUCUAGAUUGUGACAUCGACAUCCCGAAGACCAUCCAGAGGGUUCGGCAGCAGAGGUCGGGCAUGGUGCAGACUGAAGCCCAGUAUAAGUUCAUCUACAUGGCCGUGCAGCAGUACAUAGACACGGCUCAGAAGAGACUGGAGGAGGAGCAGAGGAAUAAGCUGAAGGAGAGGGAAUAUUCCAAUAUCAAAUAUCCCCAGAUGACCAACUCAAGGUCCAAACCCAACAUGGCAUCUUCGCGCUCUUCUUCUGUGAUGACAAACGAUGAUUCGUCGAGUGUGUACGAGAACAUCAACUUUAAAAGCCCUCAGACGUCUUUCAGCAGUAACACCAGGAGGUAAAAGCAUCGUCGACCUCCACAUCGCUCUGCCUCCCUAUCAGAUUUAUCCGUUCCUCUUCUGUCCGUCACAUUCCCAUGAACGCGAUUUCUCAGGACGCCUUGAGGGAAUGUCUAAAAUACAGUAUAUCUCAAAAUUUCAGCGGAGGUGUCGCUUCAUCAGCGCCUGAAAACCCCUCUUGGGGUGGAGGGAGAGUGUUGCUCUGACUAACCCCACAUCAGUGGACCCUGCCUGGGCUGCAGGUGGCGAGCUGACCCCCUCUCUCCUGCUGGACCGAGUCAAACCUUACCCUCCAUAGAGAGGAUGACUCCACAGCAUAAUGCUCUCGCUCAGGGCCCUUGUCCCUCUACCCUGUCUUUCUCCCUCCACCCCUCCAGCCUCUUCCUCUCUUAACCAGCGCAAGUGCCUUGACACAGGAUGUGUCUGUAAUCUAACCUCCCCAAAACCUGCUGUUACAUCUCUACUUUUACUACUUCUCCAUAUUCUGGAAAUCCAAGUUGACGUGUGAAAGUUUUUCCCUGGGAUGACUGACAUUAAACAUGGAGUGUGCCCCAGCCUGAACUGUCCAGAACUGUCCAGAACUGUACGGGACCCGAGAAGAGGUCAAAGCUAAGCCGUUUGUCUGCUCGUUGCCAGAAAUCACUGUUUCGCUAUCCCUCUUUCUCCAGCUGUGCUGCCUUUCAUUUGAACUCCAACGUAAGACUCUUUCUGCGGCAUUCUGUCUCUCCAGCUGUAGUGGUGUUUAAUGUGGCCGCUGAGUGAUAGCAGGGACCGUUACGUAACCUGCUACAGGCCCCUGAGACGCAGGUAAAGGGCAAGCAAGCCCUCUCCUCCAAAACGUUUUGACAUAAUAAUUUCAGGUGUAAAUAAUAAUUAAAAGAUGUGACGGAUUGUCAAAGUGUUAAAGAGUUGUACAGUGUGUACAUGUGUACAUGUAUCUCCUGCAAAUCAGCUGUUUUGUACUUUACCCGUCACCUCAUGGCCUCCAGCUGGUCCCACUUUGAGUUCAAACUCAUUUCAUCAAAAUGUUUUUUUCUGUCCUUUCAUUAUUCAUCAGCCUGUUUUCAUGAUUCUUUGGUGUUUGUGUUGAUACUGUGGCUAUCAUGGUUGUAUAACGUAUGAGAUUUAAAAAGUAUAAAUGUAUAAAGGAGCAUUACAGUGGAAGAGAUCAUGUCUAAGCACACUUGUCCCAGCAGCAUCCCCAGUGCUAAGUUUGAUUUACUGUUAGAGUGUAACAGUAGUCCACAUCUGACAGGAAACAGGUGGGGAGGAUUCCUGAAUGGCUGUUUGGAGUUGAGCUUGGCUGACCGCCGUCUCUCAGCUUUGGUUUGACUGUCUGUCCUCGUUAAUCAGCAGGUCUGAUGCCGUUCAACAUCUGUGGGAGGAGAUGGUCACAAGGAGACGAGGGAAAGGGGACGAUUACAGUGCGGGCCAGAUGGCCAUCUGCCUGAGAUUGAAGAAUAGAUUUGUCUCCGAAAAGUAAUUUAGAAGAUGGACGUAAUCCAGGCUUGAUGAUAGUGCUGCGAGUAAGCCGACGUCAUUGAUGCGAUAACGAAGACGGUGGUGCCGUGGAGCACUGAGCCCUCUGCACUGUCUGGCAGAUUGUUUGCUAUUUUUAGCCUCCAGGAUCAGCACCAAAGUAUGCCCCUCAAAUACGAGUGCAGAUCUGACCUAGCUUGUUUAAAACGUAACGACUUAAUCAUCCUGAAGUCCUUAAAAAACUCACAAUAGGAAGAUAACGUGUGUUCAGCCUUUUCUUUUAAUUUAAAGUAUUAAAAUAAACCAUGAACGAGCGGCACCUGUUGGUGUUUGUGCUCAGACCAUUCCUCUUUCUGCACCAGCAGAAAUGUUCCACUCAGCAGGUCGAGGACACUCGCAGCAUGAUUUGUCUUCUUCACUCAUAAAUUGGCCAGUUUCUGCUGCUGCAGCUCGUGAUUCUUAUUUUUUUUUUCAUUUAAAAUACAGUAUGUAAUGAAAAUGAACUGGAGUAAAAGUACUCCGUCGUUGCACUGUAAUAAACUGUCAUUUGAUACUGUCGACCUUGUGCGGGUUAUUAAAAUACAGUAAUAGUAUAACCUGCAGCAGCCACAUCGUCCUGUGUGACUUCUGACUUCUAAAGGCUUGAAAUAGCAAAGAGUCGUUUUAAUAAGGUCUCAGCUGAAACCUUUGUCCGUCUACUGUUCUUCCCAUAUAAAUUGCUGCGAAUGUAUUUUAAUGGGUGAUUUCUUUAGUGAAUAAAAGCUAUGUGUUAUGAACUGUGUGGCAUUGAUGCCCUGUGUCAGUGAAGGCCUGUGUCUAGAAAUAUACUGCACCACUUCAUGUACUUCAGUUGAAUUUGGACGAUGAAGACGUUUGAAUUCUUCUGUUUCUUUCUCCCUUUUCUCCCUUUUCCCUUCUGAACUGUGAUCUUUGUCUGACGAAUGACAGAGUACUCUUGUGGGUUUUGUUUCUGUGUCUCUGAACCAUCUUGCGCUGUGGAUCAUUUAAAUUUUUGUUGUAUUUCACUUUGCCUCUAUGGGUCAAACUUUUUUUCUUUUUAUGAUAUGGUGAAACAUCAAUACUUGAAAGUGUGAAACUGCUGAAUCUUUGGCCUCCGGCUGUGUGUGGAUGUCUAUUGGCUGUGGAAGUAUUGUUGGUAGUGCACUAGACUUUUCAGUGUUUUUUUGUUUGUUUUUCUUGUUUCAUUUCAAAUUGUAUUUCUAAUUGACUGUUUUAUCCACUCUUGCAUUUUGUAUUGUGUCUGAAUUGUUAUUAUUACUAUUAUUAUUAUUAUUAUUAUUAUUAUUGGUGUAAUUUCACCAUUGAUAAGUACAUUUUGGGUUGAACUAGCAUACAUGCAGGUAUGCAGUAGUAACACGGUAUUUUCUUUCUGCUUGUCCUCUUACAUUUACUUGAACAUGAUGUCUUUUUGUUUGAUUCCUCGUUCCUGUCGGCGGCAGUAUGCCUGAAGUGAGUGGUGGUGUACGGAGUGCUCCCGUGUUGUUCAGUGGAGGCUCUUCCCCCUUUUCCCCUCUUCUUGCACUGGCUCUGCCCAGACGCCUUUUUGCUGUAUAGGCUACAACAUGCUGAUGCAAUGAGCGGCCAGAAAUGGCAUCAAAAUGGCUUAUUGUCAUAUAGUUUUAAUAAAAAUCUAUGAUGGCACUAUAUUACGUUACACGUGGAUUCUGCUUAGUUUCUGUUUGCUUUUCAUUUUCUACCUCGGGGAAGGAGAUGACAAAUACAAUUUUGGGGAAAAGGGUUCCUGUGCUGCUCUGUUGCCUCUUCACGUGGAGAAGAGCUCUACUGCAUGGGCUGACAGCAUUGCUCAAUGAACACGAGUUAACUAAUAUUAAUAUUGAAAAGCAAAGCAGGAAAUACACUCCAGAAAAACAGCAAUUUAAACGGUAAUGACCUCAUGGGUGAAGAAGCCUGUAGAAGUGGUGCUUUAUAACUCACGAUAAAAUGAGAGGAAAACACAAGAAUGAGUUUGAAGUUAGUGCUGCUGUUAUUUCCAGCAUUUUAACACAUGAGCCGCAUUAAGUGUUGAAUAAAACUGCUUUAUUUGACUGCUAUCCUCAAGGAAACAGGCUGAUUAUUCUGCUUUAUUGGAGAGCAGGAAAAACUUCAGAGAACUUCAUAAUUUGAGUCUUUUUUGAAAAUGUGUAAAUGCCCUAGAGAAAAAUAAUGCCACGUAACAAGAAUCAGAAAUCCUUUAUCCUUUAUAAUUCCAAAACGGGGAAAUUUACAAGAAGCUUUUAUUCAUUCUUUUUACAUAAAUAUUUCUUAUUGUCUUGUUUUUUUAAUCUUUAUUAAUUUAGGGAAGAAUAUCCACAACCCAUUUUGAAGCCAUGACUGAGCCUUUAUUUUAUCUGCAUCUGUUUAUUAACCGUGUUUACUGGCAAGGCUUCAGGGAAGUAGCACUGUCAUUAUGCCCGCUCCUAAAUGACUGUGAGAAUUUAACAUAAUUGUCUUAUCAACCACGUGUCACAAGUGAACUACUUGGAAAAACCCCACAUCCAAACCUUUCCUUGAUCUAACGCACCUAAUCCAGGAAUAAAUAAAGCAACUUCCUGCCAAGCCGAAGGAGUACUGGUCUUUUAUGGUCUUGUGUUUAAGGUUCAGAUAUUGAGGAAAUAAUAAACAGCGGUCGGUAAACUUCUCGUUGACUUGACCCAAUAACUAACA